CUCAUGUGUAAUGGAUUCAUGGA
This 23-nucleotide non-coding RNA is filed under the name Arabidopsis thaliana (thale cress). The record is from RNAcentral. Lineage: Eukaryota; Viridiplantae; Streptophyta; Magnoliopsida; Brassicales; Brassicaceae.